AAAAUAUUUGUUUCAGAUGUGGAGCGUCCGAUCACUUUAUUCGGGAUUGUCCUGAAACAGCUAAAAGAGAAGAGAUAACGAGUGUGAGAUCAGGAAAUGCUCCUACUAGAGGUAGACCGCAGAGAAACCCAGGAGUGGGAGCGAGUAAUAGGAGUGCAUCCAGAGAUUCAGCAGCGAGAUCAGAUGUUAGAGCACCCGCGAGAACAUAUGCUAUUCGUGCUCGUGAAGAGGCGUCCUCUCCUGAUAUAAUUACGGAUCAAGAAGUACGAAACUCGAGGUUAGACAAAGGGAAGAAUAAAGUUGAAGACUAAGUUGGUGAAUUUGGCUAUAAUUGGUACCGAGUAUUGCAAAGCUACUUCAAGGAUCCUAAAGAAGUCGGAGAUCGUCCACACUAUCAACUACAACUGCUCGGUAUUUUAUAUCGAAACACGUUUGAGUUAUGGCAUGUAUAGGGAUUUAGUUAUUUUGUAUGUUUGUAAUGAUGAUUUUGCUAAUGAGUGAUGUGUAAGUAUUUGAUGAUGUAUGGUCAUUAAAAUGGUUAAGGAUGAAGGUGUUUGUUGUUAUGAAA
Molecule: long non-coding RNA, 568 nt
Organism: Gossypium raimondii (Peruvian cotton)
Lineage: Eukaryota; Viridiplantae; Streptophyta; Magnoliopsida; Malvales; Malvaceae
Exons: 3
Source: RefSeq, a predicted model, not a curated record